Molecule: long non-coding RNA, 3216 nt
Organism: Megachile rotundata (alfalfa leafcutting bee)
Lineage: Eukaryota; Metazoa; Arthropoda; Insecta; Hymenoptera; Megachilidae
Source: RefSeq, a predicted model, not a curated record
CGCUAAGAAAACAAAAAUGGAAAAAGACCUGUCAAAUAUAUUCUUAUUUUAUGUUGAACACGCUAAAGAUACUACUGAAUACCGCACGUGUAACUCUUCACAAAAGUGUAAAUUAAAAUCCAUUAUUCUUCUUCGUGAGAUAUUUACAAAAUUUUUGGCGUGUAGAAAUAUGGAAGUAAGAAAACUUGAAAUUGAGAAACAUUUGAAUUCAAAGAGAAAUCGAGGUCCGAUUUUAGAUUUAAAGUUUAGAGACUGGAUUAUUUAUGUAAAUGUCUCUAAACUUUAAUCAGUAAAUUAGGAGAUACAUUUAUAAGAAUUAUAAGCUUCGCUUUCGAUUCAAAAGGAAUUCAGUUUGCUGCGUGCUCAAAGUAUAUAGCAACGUAAUCGCUCUGAUCUCAUCUGUAUAUUGUGUAACAUCAGGAUCACUUAGCGACAGAAUUUGAAAUCUUGUCACGAUACUUAAAAAGAGGAAUCCUGCAGUAACCGAUCGACGAGAUACGUUUGCCACGCGAUAUUUAUAAAGUUGAUAAGGUCUUAUGUAAUUAUAAUGAUGCAUACGUAAGCGUCUUUAGAAUAAUGAUUAAAAAAGCGAUAGUUACUUUUGUCUUAGAAACAAGGAUCUAAUUUAGAUCGCUGUAACAAACAAGAUUGAUUAUAAAAUCGUAAACGGUGGUGACGAUCGACAUUAACAUCGUGGAACAUAAAAAGGCAUGGGAUCAAGGAGAAAGGAUGGAAAAAACUGGUUUUGUGACAUAUGUGUUUAUUUCCUUGCGAGGAUAGUCACCUGCAGACUUUUGGUAUUUUAAUGUGUCUGUACAAUAAUGCUGAGAAGAAAUACAAGGACCUACACGCAAAACGUUCGAACAAGUUUGGAUCUUCAAGGACCUCCAAAACUUUCCAAAAGAUUUACAGCAUCGCCUACAAAAUCUCCCAAAAGGUGAUUGGAAUCAAACUACUGUAUUCGAUGAAAAUGUGAAGCAAAGUGUCUGAAAAGUGAAGCAGCAUUCCACGAUGUAAAAAUGAAUAAUUCAGAUCGAACGAAGUGACGGAAACGGCAAAGUUACGCGAUGCUCAACGAUUCUUAAGGUUCCGUGGCACGAGAUCUUCGUUUCGGUGCAAUAUGGAGAGGACUGAAAAAUAGGAAAGAGUAAACAGAGAGGCGAGGAACGGGAGAAAAAGAAUGUUUCAGGAAGAGGAUACUUAGCACUCGGUUCGUCCACAAAGUCCGCUGAUGCGAGUUAUGCAAUUACAUUUGUAAUGGGCCAACAUUCAGCUCCGACAACGCUGGCAAUUCGCGGUAAUUACUGUGCCGUAUCUCGUAAUCCAUUGCCGGGUUGUGUCGUCUACGAAGACACGAUUCUGCUGCAAAGGAACAACCGAUUUUUCGGUCAAACACCGAACACCUUCGUCUACAUUCCGGCACAGCGUCAGUCACCGGUGACCGACAUGGUCACUUAAGAUUGAAAUUGAAGGGUUUGCAGCAAUAAGUGGGCAGCUUUUUGCACGCUUUUUCUUACAUAUCCUGUCUCUGAAGAAAAAUCUGACCUUUCACUUGGUAUAAAAAGGAGCGAACAGCAAUAGUUAGGAAACUACAAUAUAAUACGAAAUGAUAUGCAUAUCGCAACCUGGAUUUGGAAAUUUAGCAACGUAGCCAAUGCACUGUCUUUUAUUUUCUGGACAUUGAACACAGCUAAAUAAGCGAAAGAUAAAAAUGCUGAGAAUGAUCAAGGAGGAAGCGAUAGCUAUACUUGUAGAACAAGGACGUAUUCGAAGUCUAGAAGGACGAUUGUAACACAGAAGAUCGGAAAGACGAGCAAUGUCGAAGUGGUACGGAAGCUCAGCAACCCGGGACACGUUUUCUAUUCAAGGCUCGACACGCGUCACAAGGGGAGUCGCGAAUCGAGUAUGGUGUUCUCAUACUGAUUUCACCUCCUUGACACGGUCAACGCGAGGCCACGUGGAAGUUAAAACACCAUUAGGUUCGAAAUAGAAAUCGAUGGAACUCUCAGUAGGUCUCGAGGACCAGAAGCUUAAUUUAGACCCAGUUCAGAAGGUUCAAAGGAAGAGAAGAGGAUAAAAACGCAGCUGAAGAGAAGAUGUAAAAAAACAUUGGUCAGGUAGAAGCGACUUGGCACAAAAAUCGUGCAUACAGGAUUAGGGGUUAAAUUAUACGGUCUGGACGGAUAUGGUUGCUUGGAGAUAAAUCGCGAGGCAUGGGAUAAUAAUUUGCUAAAUGUCAGGCAGUUUGUUGAAAAUUCUUGCCUAUUACCUACGCCAUAACUUCGAGAUCCGUCGAGAGCAUUGAAAGGAACUCACAAAUUACAUUAUUAGUACCGUCAGACACGCGUCACCAUCUUACAUGGGUACACACGAGCAAUGUGACCAAUUUGUACGCCAUCGAUGAAUGCCACUUUUGUCUACCUUCCACGUCAUUUUCCGCCAUCGAGAAAAUCGCAUUAAACAUUUUGUCGAUCGUUUUUUAUAUUUGCGAACGUGCACCGCGUUAAUCGCGUCUUUGACAAUUACGAGAAAAACUUCGUUGAACUCUUUGUCGUGUGAUUAUUUUUAAUUGUCGCGGUACGUAAUGCCGCUAAGAAAAUUCGUCGUUAAAGGAAUUGUAUAACAUUAUAUAAUUAUAAAUGAUACAACGAUGUUAUGAUUACGAACGGUAUAAUCUAAUGUUAUAAUUGGGAACGAAAUAUGUUCUAUGUUACGCUAUGAAAUAUGAGAAAUUCGUAAUAUAUUAUAUUGUUUAGGGUAUUUGCAACGGAUUGUAAUGAACGGUUCAUCGCAGCAUUGAAAUAUUACAUGUUAAAUGUAAAGCGCACGUUCAGCCUAUUUUUCGAAUCGGUCUAUCGACGCGAACAAGAAGAAAAUCGAAUCUGAAUUUGGAUGGAGAAAAAAGAAAGAACCGGUAGAACCUGUAUGCCGUUAUAUUUCGCAUAUGUUAUGUCGCACGUCGUUUUAUAUCGCAAUACGAAGGCAAUCGCUAUUAUUUAACUACUAUAUGUAAAAUGGACAACUAUAAUAGUCGUUUAUUUCGAAUAUAGCGUUUUGGGAACAACACUUUGGUAUUAAUCUUUAAAAACAGUUUGAGAUUUUCAACUCUAAAUUUAUGAACUUGGGUACUCGCGAAUUUGUAGGACUUGAAUAUAUUGUAACUUUCAAAUUUGUAAGUAACCAAGUGAAGACAGUGGAAAUUGUAAACUUACCUUC